GCCUGCCCAGUGAUUAUAUUCAACGGCCGCGGUAUCCUAACCGUGCAAAGGUAGCACAAUCACUUGUUCUUUAAAUAAGGACUAGUAUGAACGGCGCCAUGAGGAGCACCUUGUCUCUCAUAAUAAGUCUAUGAAACUGAUCUUCCAGUACAAACGCUGGAAUAAACUCACAAGACGAGAAGACCCUGUGGAGCUUCAAACUUAAGCCACUACAUGGCCACACAGUUUUAAGUUGGGGCGACUUUGGAGCAAACUAAAACCUCCAAAAUUACAACUACAGGCCAACACGCCAAUAUAAACCACAUGACCCAAUAUAAUUGAGUAAUGAACCAAGUUACCCCAGGGAUAACAGCGCAAUCUUCUUCUAGAGUCCCUAUCGACAAGAAGGUUUACGACCUCGAUGUUGGAUCAGGAUACCCAAAUAGUGCAGCCGCUAUUAAAGGUUCGUUUGUUCAACGAUUAAUAAUCCUACGCGAUCUGAGUUCAGACCGG
This 492-nucleotide ribosomal RNA is filed under the name Amphisbaena mensae. RNAcentral's name for it is "partial large subunit ribosomal RNA". It matches the Rfam family "Bacterial large subunit ribosomal RNA", at positions 1857 to 2619 of the family's 2925-position model. Lineage: Eukaryota; Metazoa; Chordata; Lepidosauria; Squamata; Amphisbaenidae. The record is from RNAcentral.